The sequence is a small nuclear RNA, 164 nucleotides long. Its record names the gene U1. It matches the Rfam family "U1 spliceosomal RNA". From Rfam's summary of the family: U1 is a small nuclear RNA (snRNA) component of the spliceosome (involved in pre-mRNA splicing). Its 5' end forms complementary base pairs with the 5' splice junction, thus defining the 5' donor site of an intron. There are significant differences in sequence and secondary structure between metazoan and yeast U1 snRNAs, the latter being much longer (568 nucleotides as compared to 164 nucleotides in human). The record is from Ensembl.
AUACUUACCUGGCAGGGGAGACACCAUGAUCAUGAAGGUGGUUCACCCAGGGCGAGGCUCAGCCAUUGCACUCCGGUUGUGCUGACCCCUGCGAAUUCCCCAAAUGUGGGAAUCUCGACUGCAUAAUUUCUGGUAGUGGGGGACUGCGUUCGCGCUCUCCCCUG